RNAcentral lists this long non-coding RNA (1040 nucleotides) under Anolis carolinensis (green anole). RNAcentral's name for it is "lncRNA (ENSACAG00000041314.1)". The record is from RNAcentral. Lineage: Eukaryota; Metazoa; Chordata; Lepidosauria; Squamata; Anolidae.
CAAAAGCCCUUCUUAGCCAGGCAGUGCCCAUGGUCUUGAGGCUAAGGAGGCACCUAGAAAGGCUUGGGGCCAGUCGAACACUGGACUCCCUGGCUGGACCGCUGACACCGCCGGUCCAGGAGGUGGUGAGGAGGUUGUCCUUUGCUGUACGGAAACGCCUAGAGCCACUUCUUUCCAGCAAGGUCCAUAUGCUGGCGGCCUUGUGUGAUCCACGGCUAAAGUACAACGUCUGCCCAAAAGACUUUACCGUAUGGAAGGCCCAACUAGUUAACCUUGUGAGGGAGGUCUUUGCUGCCAGGGUGGGGGAAACGGGCACAGCGGCCCCUCUACCGGAAAUGCCUGCAACCCCCAGCACUAGCGCUAGUGGCGAGAGUGAUAGUCCUGGGGAGCCGGCAGGGGGUUGCCGUAGGGUUACGGAUCUCCAGCCGCAACCAGGAAACGCUUUCUUUGCAGAGACGGUGGCCAUACUAGCCUGCUCGGAAGAUUCCUCUUUGCUGGCUUCUGCUCAAAAGGUAGACUCGGCCGAAUGCUCGGUCAACAGGUACUUUGAGGAGCCUCCUGAGAUAAUUUCUUGUGAUCCAUUGGCCUAUUGGGCUUCACGUGAUCACAUGUGGCCGGAUCUGUCGCACGUAGCCCGCCAGUUCCUCAGCUGUCCUCCCACCAGCGUGCAGAGCGAAAGGGUCUUCAGCCUAGCGGGAGAUGUAGUCACGCCCCACCACAGCUUGCUGGACCCUCAAACAGUUGAGAAACUGGUCUUCCUGAAGGCCAACCUUCCCGUGUUGAAUUUCCCCGAUUUGGAUUUUGACACCGACGGCUCCUAGAACAACAGUUCUCCUCCUUUAAGCAGCUCUGCUUCUGAUUAACUUUGACUAUUUCUGUUGGGGGGCGGGGGGGUUGCCCCUUUGGCCUAUGUCCAACAACUCUCUCCUCUAUCCUACCAUGCUUUCCUUCCUCUCUUCCCUUCCGUUCUCGUCUUUAUCAUCACACACCGUUGCCCACUUUCGUUUUUGGGUAAAUCAAUCUCUAGGGGCCGUUCCCUG